YUACGUGCCAGCAGCCGCGGUAAUACGGAAGGUCCAGGCGUUAUCCGGAUUUAUUGGGUUUAAAGGGAGCGUAGGCCGCUGAUUAAGCGUGUUGUGAAAUUUGGAUGCUCAACAUCUGAACUGCAGCGCGAACUGGUUAGCUUGAGUGUGCGCAACGCAGGCGGAAUUUGUGGUGUAGCGGUGAAAUGCUUAGAUAUCACGAAGAACUCCGAUUGCGAAGGCAGCUUGCGGGAGCACAACUGACGCUGAAGCUCGAAAGCGCGGGUAUCGAACAGGAUUAGAUACCCUGGUAGUCCGCGCGGUAAACGAUGGAUGCCCGCUAUUCGCUCAUUUUUGAGCGUGUGGCCAAGCGAAAGCGUUAAGCAUCCCACCUGGGGAGUACGCCGGCAACGGUGAAACUCAAAGGAAUUGACGGGGGCCCGCACAAGCGGAGGAACAUGUGGUUUAAUUCGAUGAUACGCGAGGAACCUUACCCGGGCUUGAAUUGCAGAGGAAAGAUCCAGAGAU
Molecule: ribosomal RNA, 507 nt
Filed under: uncultured bacterium
Lineage: Bacteria
Description: bacterial SSU rRNA
Rfam family: Bacterial small subunit ribosomal RNA
Source: RNAcentral